RNAcentral lists this ribosomal RNA (253 nucleotides) under uncultured bacterium. Its description in RNAcentral is "partial 16S ribosomal RNA". It matches the Rfam family "Bacterial small subunit ribosomal RNA", at positions 524 to 776 of the family's 1533-position model. The record is from RNAcentral.
UACGGGGGGGGCAAGCGUUGUUCGGAAUUACUGGGCGUAAAGGGCUCGUAGGCGGCCAACUAAGUCGGAUGUGAAAUCCCCAGGCUUAACCUGGGAACUGCAUCCGAUACUGGAUGGCUUGAAUCCGGGAGAGGGAUGCGGAAUUCCAGGUGUAGCGGUGAAAUGCGUAGAUAUCUGGAGGAACACCGGCGGCGAAGGCGGCAUCCUGGACCGGCAUUGACGCUGAGGAGCGAAAGCCAGGGGAGCAAACGGG